AUUCAACUAAAAUGUCAUUUAUGUAUUAAUUUUCAUGAUGUCGAUAACAGAUCCUUAAUUUUAUAAGUAUUAAAGAAAAAAAAACAUGUCAAAUAACUUGCAGUGAUUACUCACAAAAAUUAAUCUCAUCAAAUCCUUUGAAUAGUACCUUUUAAAUUUAUUCAAUCAUAUUUGUUCAUGAAUGUUUUAUAUGUGACAGGCCUACUAUUUUCAUGUUAAAUUGUACUGUAACUAUAAUUUGUCUAUUAAUUUUGAAGAAAUUUUGUUUUGUUUCAGUGCAUCUCUACGUGCCACUUUAAUGCCCAGAGGGGCCCGCCCAUUCUGCCCAGCGCACCCCUACUACCCCUUUGGCUUCCACCCCCCCC
This is a non-coding RNA of Biomphalaria pfeifferi, 365 nucleotides long. NCBI's taxonomy places the organism in Eukaryota, Metazoa, Mollusca, Gastropoda, Planorbidae. The record is from the annotation of a GenBank genome assembly.